GGUGUUUGUCUCCUGGGAUGCUGUGGGGUUGACCCUGGAUAGCAUUCACGGUCAUUAGCUCAUGGUGUUCUUGGGAGACAUUUGAAGUCAGCUGGUGUCCUGCUGAUGGAGCUGCUGAGUUCAGCAUCACAUCGACAUAAUUUCAUGAUGCGUUUGCAUGAAGGGCUUUGGUGCCAUUUCUGAGUGAACAGGAAACCAGUAGGAGGCUAUCGCAGUCAUCCAGCUGAGGAAAGAUGACUUGACACUUCAGAAGCCUCCUGAAUCCUAUUCUGGCCCAUCGUGGCAUGGUCAGCAGAUGAGAAACAGAUGGACUGGUGUGUGGUGGGAGGAAGCUGUCCUGGUCGAGCUCUGCUUCAGGCCAGUCCUUUCUGAGAUUGGAGAAGUGAGAAGAGGAGCAGAGAGACCAGCUGGGAGCUGCUGUAGUAACCCAGGUGAGGGAGAUGGUGGUCUGGACCAGUGCUUCGCAUGGAGGUGGACAGAAGUGAUAUAACUGAUUUAAGUCAACCAGCUGCUUGAUCCAAAUAAUGCCAAAUGAG
This 536-nucleotide long non-coding RNA is filed under the name Homo sapiens (human). RNAcentral's name for it is "HSALNT0251495". The record is from RNAcentral. Lineage: Eukaryota; Metazoa; Chordata; Mammalia; Primates; Hominidae.